RNAcentral lists this ribosomal RNA (440 nucleotides) under uncultured bacterium. RNAcentral describes it as "bacterial SSU rRNA". It matches the Rfam family "Bacterial small subunit ribosomal RNA", at positions 338 to 789 of the family's 1533-position model. The record is from RNAcentral.
CCUACGGGAGGCUGCAGCAGGGAAUCUUGCGCAAUGGGCGAAAGCCUGACGCAGUGACGCCGCGUGAGGGAUGAAUGCCUUCGGGUUGUAAACCUCUUUCAGCAGGGACGAAGCGAAAGUGACGGUACCUGCAGAAGAAGCCCCGGCCAACUACGUGCCAGCAGCCGCGGUAACACGUAGGGGGCGAGCGUUGUCCGGAUUUAUUGGGCGUAAAGAGCUCGUAGGCGGCCGUGCAAGUCGGACGUGAAAACCCAGGGCUCAACCCUGGGAGGUCGUUCGAUACUGCUCGGCUAGAGGCAGGUAGGGGAAAGUGGAAUUCCUGGUGUAGCGGUGAAAUGCGUAGAUAUCAGGAGGAACACCGGUGGCGAAGGCGGCUUUCUGGGCCUCGCCUGACGCUGAGGAGCGAAAGCUGGGGGAGCGAACAGGAUUAGAUACCCCUG